RNAcentral lists this long non-coding RNA (2361 nucleotides) under Nicotiana tabacum (common tobacco). Its description in RNAcentral is "long non-coding RNA (NTAB_LNC015815)". Lineage: Eukaryota; Viridiplantae; Streptophyta; Magnoliopsida; Solanales; Solanaceae. The record is from RNAcentral.
UAGACGAAAAAUGACAAUCUAUAUGAAAUCAUAGACCAUUCAAGGUGUUAGUUUUUGGUCCUAUUCAAUUCUUUGAGAAGCAAUUGAAUAGGUAAUUACAAUGCAGAAGCAACUUAAUGAGAAGAUGAGGCAAUUUCAAGAGGUAAACCUAAAAAAGGUUAAGUCUCACAAAUAAGACAGUUGUUGAUUCCCUAGAGCUUGUUGAUUUAAGAGUUAAGACAUUGCUCCUUUUAGAACAAAAAAAGGGCAGGUCGAUGCACUAAGCUCCCGCUAUGCGGGGGGUUCGAGGAAGGGCUAGACUACAAGGGUCUAUUAUACACAGCAUUACCCUGCAUUUCUGCAAACGGCUGUUUCCAUGGCUCGAACACGUGACCUCCUGAUCACAUGACAUGAAGAAUUAACUUUUAAUCGUCCUCCUCCUCGGGGUCAAAAUCUUUAACCUUCACAUCAGCAUCCUCUCCAUACUGAAUGCAGUUGUCAAUCUGAAAUAAGAUAUACUGUAUGCUGCAAAACGGCAGAGAACAUUCAUCUUUGUCAUUGAAGCUGAAACAAUAAUUUAAUAGCAAGACUAAAAGGUACCCUUGUGUGGGUUACGCAUACAACAAACACACACACACACAAAAGCACAGACAAACAAGCUAUCAUCCAUCUGAUAGUUAAGACGUCUGACAACUUGUUUGGAUGGUUGUUAUGUAUCGUUUCAUAAUGUAUCGUAUUGUAUUGUAUUCUACUGUAUUGUAUUGAUGUAUACAAUGUUGGAUAGAUAGUAUUGUUUGUCGUCGUUUCAUGAUAUCAUGGACCAACAAUAUGAAAAAUAAACUUGCAAUAUUAUAAAGAAAAAGUAAGGUAUGAGGUAGAAUAAUUAUAUAAAAAUAUGGGAUAAAAGAUAAAAUAAGAUUAUUUAAUAAUAAGGAAAGGCAAGAUGAGAGAAAAAAAUAAGGUAACGACGCAACCACACCAAAUCGGUCGUUCCAUAAAGUGGCACUUUUCGUCAUUACGUAACAACGGAUUUAACGAUACAAUACAGUAAAAUUUACGCAACAAUCAAAACAAACAUUGUAUUUAAAGUAACAACACAUAACAACCAUCCAAACAAGUUGUAAUGUACUAUCCCUUAGGUCAGAAAGUUAUUGGCAUAAUUUUACCAAUCAAGCAAUCUAUAAGAAAUGGCUAAAUACCUGGAAAACUAAAAAGCACAAGUUAUCACUGUCGUCGUCAUCACAUUUUUAUUUGACAACACUUACUAUGAAAACCCUCCUAAGUAUGAAUGGGAAGCAGGGAGUGAAAACAACAUGAGAACCAGGUGCAUAUUGAGACACUGAAAAAUCAUUGCAUUAUGGUUUGCUGUAAGCUGAUCAAUUCAAUCUCGAACAAAUGCUGCUUCCAUUAAAAAGGGCAGUCCGGUGCACUAAGCUCCUGCUAUGCGCGGGGUCCGGGGUCUAUUGUACACAACCUUACCUGUAUUUCUGCAAAAGGCUGUUUCCACGGCUUGAACCCGUGACCUCCUGGUCACAUGGCAAUAACUUUACCAGUUAUGCUGCUUCCAUAAAGAUUAUUUAAAUUUACCACAAGGAACAGUAUGUGUUACCUGCUCUCUUUUCUCAAGUCAAGAGGGAGAAAGCUCACCAUGCUGUACUGUAUCAGCCAUUACAGAUAACUUUCUGCCUCAUAUCUUUUCAUCCGACUUAAAGUAGGGAAGAAGAAUCUGUGGCAGAUAAUUCAUAUCCUACAAGCCUGUAAAAUCUUGUUUUUAACUUGGGAGAAAGAACAACCUCUUCAAGUAAAAGUUGUCGUUAAGUUCCAAUGACAAAAGAGAAUAAUCGAAGUACACAAAACAUAUAUGAUUGUCAAUUCAAUAACUAAUACACCAAUUCUUGGAAACAUUCAGAGCUUACCACUUCAAUCAAAGCUUUGUUAAGCUUCUGAUAUUGUGGAGCCAUUCGCUGAUUCAACUCUGCCAGUAACAGCUAAGCUCUGGAUCCAAGUAACUGAAGGGAAAACAAAUUUCAAUACACUAAAUUAACAAAGACACUUAGUGGGAGCAUGUGUUGAAAGCUAUGUUGCUCGGACACUCCGAAAAUGUCGUUUGGUGUGUGUCGGAUCCUCCGAAAGUAGUGUAUUUUUGGAAGAUCUGACACGGGUGCGGUAGCAUUUUGGAGAGUCCGCGCAAUAUAGGUUGAAAGUGCCAAAGACAUGAAACGAAUAGUUAAGAGGUAGUAGGACUAACUUCUCAACAUCCUUUUUGUUUGUCACAAGAUCCAUUUUUGAGAGAAUGUUAACAUGGGGUAGUUCAAGUUGAACCAUAGCAGAGAGUGAAGCCAUACAACCACUUAUGAAUUUGGUCACAUCUGUGAUAACCUG